UCCAAAUGAUACUUCUUCUAACAUUGCUAUACUGUUGGCAACAUUGCAGCAAUGUUGCCAACAGUAUAGCAAUGUUAGAAGAAGUAUCAUUUGGAA
This is a non-coding RNA of Strigamia maritima, 96 nucleotides long. NCBI's taxonomy places the organism in Eukaryota, Metazoa, Arthropoda, Chilopoda, Geophilomorpha, Linotaeniidae. The record is from Rfam.